AUAGCCGCAAUUUGUGCUAAGGUAGCAUAAUCAUUUGUCUUUUAAAUAAAGACUAGAACAAAAGAUUUAACAUUUUAAUUCAUAUUACAAAAAUAAAAAUUUAAUUUUUCCUAAAUGUAAAAAAACAUUUAUUCCAAAGAAAGACGACAAGACCCUAUAGAACUUAACUAUAGUUAUACUGGGGCAGUAAAUUAAUUAUAAUUUUAAUUAUAUAUUAUAUAUAUUCAUCUAUUAAUUUUAAUAAUUAACUAAGUUACCUUAGGGAUAACAGCGCAAUUAAUUUUUAAAGCUCUUAUAUAAAAAAUAGAUUACGACCUCGAUGUUGAAUUAAUUACCUAUUAUUUAAAGCAAAGUUUAAAAAAGGAAGUCUGUUCGACUUUAAAACAAUUACAUGAUUUGAGUUCAGACCGGUGUAAGCCAGGUCGGCUUCCAUCUUCUACAAAAUUUCUUAUAGUACGAAAGGGCCUAAGAAUAUUUUAUAAUUUAAUUGGCAGAUUAAUGCAUUAGAAUUAGAAUCUAAUAAAUCUAAU
Molecule: ribosomal RNA, 530 nt
Filed under: Coryphasia cf. campestrata JXZ-2013
Lineage: Eukaryota; Metazoa; Arthropoda; Arachnida; Araneae; Salticidae
Description: partial 16S ribosomal RNA
Rfam family: Bacterial large subunit ribosomal RNA (bases 138-438)
Source: RNAcentral